AGAGUUUGAUCCCGGCUCAGAACGAACGCUGGCGGCAUGCUUAACACAUGCAAGUCGAACGAGAAAUUUUUCCUUCGGGAGAAGUGGAGAGUGGCGAACGGGUGAGUAACGCGUAGAUAAUCUACCCUUAAGUCUGGGAUAACCCCUCGAAAGAGGGGCUAAUACCGGAUAAUAACUUUGGUCAAGUGGCUUUGGUUUGAAAGCUCCGGCGCUUGAGGAUGAGUCUGCGUCCCAUUAGCUAGUAGGUAGGGUAAAAGCUUACCUAGGCAACGAUGGGUAGCGGGUCUGAGAGGAUGAUCCGUCACACUGGCACUGAGACACGGGCCAGACUCCUACGGGAGGCAGCAGUGGGGAAUAUUGCGCAAUGGGCGAAAGCCUGACGCAGCAAUGCCGCGUGAGUGAAGAAGGCUUUCGGGUCGUAAAGCUCUUUAUCUCAGUGAAGAUAAUGACGGUAGCAGAGGAAUAAGCACCGGCUAACUACGUGCCAGCAGCCGCGGUAAUACGUAGGGUGCAAGCGUUGUUCGGAAUUACUGGGCGUAAAGGGUGUGUAGGCGGAUUUAUUAGCUAGAGGUGAAAGCCCGGGGCUCAACUCCGGAACUGCUUCUAGAACUGUAAGUCUAGAGAGGGUCAGAGGUCAGCGGAAUUCCUAGUGUAGAGGUGAAAUUCGUAGAUAUUAGGAGGAACACCGGCGGCGAAAGCGGCUGGCUGGGGCCACUCUGACGCUGAGGCACGAAAGCGUGGGGAGCGAACGGGAUUAGAUACCCCGGUAGUCCACGCCAUAAACGAUGGAUACUAGAUGUCUGGAGGAAUCGACCCCUCUGGGUGUCACAGCUAACGCAGUAAGUAUCCCGCCUGGGGAGUACGGUCGCAAGACUAAAACUCAAAGGAAUUGACGGGGGCCCGCACAAGCGGUGGAACAUGUGGUUUAAUUCGACGCAACGCGAAGAACCUUACCUGGGUUUGACAUCCCGUGAUCGUCCUGGAAACAGGAUUUUCUCUUCGGAGACACGGAGACAGGUGCUGCAUGGCUGUCGUCAGCUCGUGUCGUGAGAUGUUGGGUUAAGUCCCGCAACGAGCGCAACCCUUGUCCUUAGUUGCCACCAGGUUAUGCUGAGCACUCUAGGGAGACUGCCGGUGAUAAGCCGGAGGAAGGUGGGGAUGACGUCAAGUCCUCAUGGCCUUUAUAUCCAGGGCUACACACGUGUUACAAUGGCGACCACAAAGAGUAGCGAUACGGUGACGUGGAGCGAAUCUCAAAAAAGUCGUCUCAGUUCGGAUUGUAGUCUGCAACUCGACUGCAUGAAGUUGGAAUCGCUAGUAAUCGCGGAUCAGCACGCCGCGGUGAAUACGUUCCCGGGCCUUGUACACACCGCCCGUCACACCAUGGGAGUUGACAGGGGCAGAAGACGUUGAGCUAACUUGCAAAAGAGGCAGGCGUCCAAGCUCAUGUUGAUGACUAGGGUGAAGUCGUAACAAGGUA
This 1480-nucleotide ribosomal RNA is filed under the name metagenome. Its description in RNAcentral is "bacterial SSU rRNA". It matches the Rfam family "Bacterial small subunit ribosomal RNA". The record is from RNAcentral.